GGGCUAUUAGCGCAGGCAGGUAGCGCAUCCGGCUCUUAACCGGCAGGUCGGGGGUUCGAUACUUCCAUCCUUAUCAG
RNAcentral lists this transfer RNA (77 nucleotides) under Promethearchaeota archaeon Loki_b31. RNAcentral describes it as "Candidatus Lokiarchaeota archaeon Loki_b31 tRNA-Lys". It matches the Rfam family "tRNA". Rfam says of the family: Transfer RNA (tRNA) molecules are approximately 80 nucleotides in length. Their secondary structure includes four short double-helical elements and three loops (D, anti-codon, and T loops). Lineage: Archaea; Promethearchaeati; Promethearchaeota. The record is from RNAcentral.